Molecule: ribosomal RNA, 355 nt
Filed under: uncultured bacterium
Lineage: Bacteria
Description: partial 16S ribosomal RNA
Source: RNAcentral
UGCAUAUAUGAUUUGUAUUGUAGGGAGGGGGGAGGGGUGGAUGCGAGAAGGUUCUGGACGGAGGUCGUGAGGUGUGUUAAGAGAUUAUUUUUCUCCUUGUCGGGGGGCUGUAGCCCUACAUGAUUAUCUCCCUAUUGUUUCAUGUCCACUUAUAGGGGGGAGNUUUUUGGGUUAGCGACGGGAAAACUAUGUCCCCGUAAAGCGUGGAAGGUCGAUCAGAUAUGAGGGUGGGGAUAGAAAAUGGCACGCGAAUUGGAUGCGAGUGUGGGUCUGUUACUACUCUGGGGGAGCUAAGCUAAAUACCAACAAUCCUCGUCGAUUUCUAUAUUGGGAACAGCGGCUAUUAUGUUGUUGG